GUUGCAGUUAUUGAUGGAGCGAUUGUUGCGAGCUUCGUCCGGAGUGAGACAUGUGGUGGCGAAUACGCCGGGGAAUUUGUUGGCGAAGAUCCCGACUCCGACGCCCGUUCCGCAAGCAAGGAGGCCACGGGUCUCCACGGAGGGGGAGGUGGUGGCGGAAGAGACUCGACGGCCGACUUCAGCACCGAUGUUGUAGUAGGAGGUGAUUCCGAGAUCUUCGACUUCUAUGUUGUGGGAGCGGAGGUGGGAUACCAUGGCGUCUUUUAGCUCGGCGCCGAAAGAAUCAGCUCCAGCAAUGACUUUGAGGGGGGAAGACGCGGUGGCGGAAUCGGCCAUGAGGCGGCUGUGGAAGGUAGGGAGUAACUAAAGUGAGAUUAAGAAGAAAGUUGAGGAAAUUAAGGGCUAUUACCAAUAGACCUCACUUCAAAUAGAUAGACCCUUUAAUGAAUUUAUGGCAUUUUCUUAAAAAAUAAUUUUAUCUGAUUCAUAUUCAACUACAAAUAUUAAAUAUCCACGUGUACAAGAAAC
RNAcentral lists this long non-coding RNA (528 nucleotides) under Gossypium barbadense (sea-island cotton). Its description in RNAcentral is "long non-coding RNA (GBAR_LNC021128)". The record is from RNAcentral. Lineage: Eukaryota; Viridiplantae; Streptophyta; Magnoliopsida; Malvales; Malvaceae.